UACAGAGGGUGCAAGCGUUGUUCGGAAUUAUUGGGCGUAAAGCGCGUGUAGGCGGCCUGGCAAGUUGGGUGUGAAAGCCCUCGGCUUAACCGAGGAAGUGCGCCCAAAACUACGAGGCUUGAGUACCGGAGAGGGUGGCGGAAUUCCCGGUGUAGCGGUGAAAUGCGCAGAUAUCAGGAAGAACACCGAUGGCGAAGGCAGCUCUCUGGGACGGUACUGACGCUGAGACGCGAAAGCGUGGGGAGCGAACAGG
This 253-nucleotide ribosomal RNA is filed under the name uncultured bacterium. RNAcentral's name for it is "partial 16S ribosomal RNA". It matches the Rfam family "Bacterial small subunit ribosomal RNA", at positions 524 to 776 of the family's 1533-position model. The record is from RNAcentral.